This 484-nucleotide ribosomal RNA is filed under the name uncultured bacterium. Its description in RNAcentral is "partial 16S ribosomal RNA". It matches the Rfam family "Bacterial small subunit ribosomal RNA", at positions 28 to 523 of the family's 1533-position model. The record is from RNAcentral.
GACGAACGCUGGCGGCGUGCUUAACACAUGCAAGUCGAACGAUGAAGCUAGAGCUUGCUCUGGUGGAUUAGUGGCGAACGGGUGAGUAACACGUGAGUAACCUGCCCCGAACUCUGGGAUAACUGCUGGAAACGGUAGCUAAUACCGGAUAUGACCAAUGAAGGCAUCUUCUGUUGGUGGAAAGAAUUUCGGUUCGGGAUGGACUCGCGGCCUAUCAGCUUGUUGGUGAGGUAACGGCUCACCAAGGCGACGACGGGUAGCCGGCCUGAGAGGGUAGUCGGCCACACGGGGACUGAGACACGGCCCAGACUCCUACGGGAGGCAGCAGUGGGGAAUAUUGCACAAUGGGCGCAAGCCUGAUGCAGCAACGCCGCGUGAGGGACGACGGCCUUCGGGUUGUAAACCUCUUUUAGUAGGGAAGAAGCGAAAGUGACGGUACCUGCAGAAAAAGCACCGGCUAACUACGUGCCAGCAGCCGCGGUAA